Molecule: ribosomal RNA, 120 nt
Filed under: uncultured bacterium
Lineage: Bacteria
Description: partial 16S ribosomal RNA
Rfam family: Bacterial small subunit ribosomal RNA
Source: RNAcentral
GAUGAACGCUAGCGGCAGGCUUAAUACAUGCAAGUCGAGGGGCAGCGGGGUAGCAAUACCGCCGGCGACCGGCAAACGGGUGCGGAACACGUACACAACCUUCCUUAAGGUGGGAGAUAG